RNAcentral lists this ribosomal RNA (139 nucleotides) under uncultured bacterium. Its description in RNAcentral is "partial 16S ribosomal RNA". It matches the Rfam family "Bacterial small subunit ribosomal RNA", at positions 355 to 509 of the family's 1533-position model. The record is from RNAcentral.
UGGGGAAUAUUGGGCAAUGGACGCAAGUCUGACCCAGCAACGCCGCGUGAAGGAAGAAGGCUUUCGGGUUGUAAACUUCUUUUAAGGGAGAAGAGCAGAAGACGGUACCCCUUGAAUAAGCCACGGCUAACUACGUGCC